UUGAGGAGCUAAGCACAGAAGGGUGCAGUUGGGAAAGUGUUCUCCUCUUAGAUGAGCUGUAAGUGAUAGUCUGCCCUGAUCAGGGUUGUUGGACAGUUAAUCGAGGUGUGACAGUGUGGGGAAUCUCAGGCCCAGGAGGCCACUAUGUGAGGAAAAGCCUCCUGAUCGCCAUUUUCUGUGGAAUCUGAGGGUGAAUGGAAGGUGGAGGACCGUAUUCAUGGAAGAGGAUCGAACAGACUACUGAGUUCUUAUGAGAAGAAUGGCUCUUAAGAAAUUGAAGGUGAUACCAAAGGAAGGUUACUUAUUACUUUUGGACUUUGAUGAUGAGGACGAUGACAUAAAAGUUUCAGAGGAGGCUCUUUCGGAAGUAAAGAGCCCAGCGUUUGAUAAAAAUGAGAAUAUAUCGCCUUAAGCAGAAGCAGAUGAAGAUAUGGGAGAUGAAGUAGACAGUAUGUUGGAUAAAUCUGAAGAGACAUGAAGUUCUUGUCCUACAGAACUUUGACUUGCUUUUUUCGUGUCACACCAAGUAAAUAACCCAGCAAUUGGUAAAGAUGGAAAUAUAUCGCCUCAAGUAAAAGGAGAUGAAGACAUGGGACAUGAAGUAGGCAGUAUGUUGGAUAAAUCUGGAGGUAUGUGUUUUAAAAAUAUUUCCCUGUUUCUUGAAGAGGCCAAACGAGGGAAACAGAUCUCUAUAGAACCUAUAGCAUAGGGGGAUAAUUGUAGACUUCACAGAAAUUAUAGUUUUCUUUAAAAAAUACACACAGAUAACUUCUCAUCCAACAUUCAAAACUAAAGAUUAACUAAAGAUGUAGCUCAGUGGUAAAGCACCAUUAAAAGUUAUAAAUUUCAUCUUCAGUGGUGAAAACAAAAACAAAAACAAAAACAAAAAACCAGCAAAAAAAAAAAAAACAAACCCAGCAAAUUAAC
RNAcentral lists this long non-coding RNA (927 nucleotides) under Mus musculus (house mouse). RNAcentral's name for it is "RIKEN cDNA 4921509O09 gene". The record is from RNAcentral. Lineage: Eukaryota; Metazoa; Chordata; Mammalia; Rodentia; Muridae.